UGGGGAAUAUUGCACAAUGGGCGCAAGCCUGAUGCAGCCAUGCCUCGUGUAUGAAGAAGGCCUUCGGGUUGUAAAGUACUUUCAGCGGGGAGGAAGGCGAUAAGGUUAAUAACCUUGUCGAUUGACGUUACCCGCAGAAGAAGCACCGGCUAACUCCGUGCCAGCAGCCGCGGUAAUACGGAGGGUGCAAGCGUUAAUCGGAAUUACUGGGCGUAAAGCGCACGCAGGCGGUCUGUCAAGUCGGAUGUGAAAUCCCCGGGCUCAACCUGGGAACUGCAUUCGAAACUGGCAGGCUAGAGUCUUGUAGAGGGGGGUAGAAUUCCAGGUGUAGCGGUGAAAUGCGUAGAGAUCUGGAGGAAUACCGGUGGCGAAGGCGGCCCCCUGGACAAAGACUGACGCUCAGGUGCGAAAGCGUGGGGAGCAAACA
This 427-nucleotide ribosomal RNA is filed under the name uncultured bacterium. RNAcentral's name for it is "partial 16S ribosomal RNA". It matches the Rfam family "Bacterial small subunit ribosomal RNA", at positions 355 to 774 of the family's 1533-position model. The record is from RNAcentral.